UAGCUUAGUUGGUAGAGCGUAAGACUCUUAACCUUGUGGUUGUGGGUUUAAGCCCCAC
RNAcentral lists this transfer RNA (58 nucleotides) under Zea mays. It matches the Rfam family "tRNA", at positions 8 to 63 of the family's 71-position model. Rfam says of the family: Transfer RNA (tRNA) molecules are approximately 80 nucleotides in length. Their secondary structure includes four short double-helical elements and three loops (D, anti-codon, and T loops). Lineage: Eukaryota; Viridiplantae; Streptophyta; Magnoliopsida; Poales; Poaceae. The record is from Rfam by way of RNAcentral.